GCCGGGGUGGCGGAACUGGUAGACGCAGUGGACUUAAAAUCCACUGGGCCGACAGGCCCGUCCGGGUUCGAGUCCCGGCCUCGGCA
This 86-nucleotide transfer RNA is filed under the name Candidatus Eiseniibacteriota bacterium. RNAcentral's name for it is "tRNA-Leu". It matches the Rfam family "tRNA". From Rfam's summary of the family: Transfer RNA (tRNA) molecules are approximately 80 nucleotides in length. Their secondary structure includes four short double-helical elements and three loops (D, anti-codon, and T loops). The record is from RNAcentral. Lineage: Bacteria; Candidatus Eiseniibacteriota.